Molecule: long non-coding RNA, 1020 nt
Organism: Manihot esculenta (cassava)
Lineage: Eukaryota; Viridiplantae; Streptophyta; Magnoliopsida; Malpighiales; Euphorbiaceae
Exons: 3
Source: RefSeq, a predicted model, not a curated record
CGUUUUGAUUUUGUAGUGUUAGGUUAAAGUUAUUUAGGUUAAACUUAUUCUUUCUGUGUCGACCACCAAAAAUUUCUUCUUCUCUUCUUUCUUCUCUCGACGCCACGACUAACGACUUCACUUCAGUUCAGAGUUCAGUCAAUCCUCAGUCCUCUCAUGGUCACGUUCCUUCACAGUUCCAAAUUUCUCUCUUGUGAGUCGCAUCGGCGGCCGUCGAGCCUUUGUCCCUCAGCGGCUCAGCCUCACUUGCUUUCAGUCCUUCCUCCAUCCAUAGUCACUCUUGUCUCGCCAGUCGCCGCAGUUUGCCAGUCACUGCUCACUUUCACUCUAGCACUUCCUACCAGCUCUCUGCCUCACUCGGUCUCUCAAUCUCCUGGGUCUCCUCAGUCCUCAGUCCACGACCAGUCUCUCUCUAGUCAAUUGUCCCUUCAGUCCCUCUCCAGUCUCCACAGUCUUGCAUCCCUCUCCAUUUUCUGGCUGCAUCAGGGACUAAGGGUGGUUCAAGUGGUUCCCCAGUGAUUGAUUGGCAAGGCAGGGCUGUGGCCUUGAAUGCUGGCAGCAAGUCUUCUAGUGCUUCUGCAUUUUUCUUACCUUUAGAACGAAUAUGGUCAGGGGUAAAGGUAAAGAAGAUGCACGUAAUGCUGAUCGUGGUGUUUUAACGGGUACAGGUAGAGGCCGAGGCCGAGGUGAUCCAGAAAUUGUUCGUGGUCGAGGCAUUAUAACCACUGCACCUUCUUCAGUUGACUUUAGAGCCCCAGCACUUACUCCAACAACCCCUGUAUCAUACUUAGCCCCUGCAGCCCCUCCACUUGCUCCAGUAGCCGAUAGCUCAAAUGCGUAGAAGAGAAGUAAUUUCUCACGUACUUAAAUAAUAUAUUUUAUGAUAUGAAUUUGAAACUAUUUGGAUCCAUUAUAUAUUUUGAGAUAUUUUAAGUUUUUUAGUAUUGAACUAUAGUAAUGUUUUGAACUUUUAGAUUGCAGAAUCAUGAAAUGAAAAUUAUGUGUAUAUAUUGUCUUUGA